Molecule: non-coding RNA, 153 nt
Organism: Homo sapiens (human)
Lineage: Eukaryota; Metazoa; Chordata; Mammalia; Primates; Hominidae
Rfam family: Metazoan signal recognition particle RNA
About the family: The signal recognition particle (SRP) is a universally conserved ribonucleoprotein. It is involved in the co-translational targeting of proteins to membranes.
Source: Rfam
GCCAGGUGCUGUGGCAUGCACCUGUAGUUCCAGCUACUCAGGAGGCUGAGAAAGGAAGAUUGCUUGAGCCCAGGAAUUUGAGGCUGCAGUGAGCUACAAUUGCACCACUGCACUCCAGCCUAGCCUGGGCAACAUAGUAAGGCCCUGUCUCUA